AUUGAACGCUGGCGGCAGGCCUAACACAUGCAAGUCGAGCGGAUGAAGGGAGCUUGCUCCUGGAUUCAGCGGCGGACGGGUGAGUAAUGCCUAGGAAUCUGCCUGGUAGUGGGGGAUAACGUCCGGAAACGGGCGCUAAUACCGCAUACGUCCUGAGGGAGAAAGUGGGGGAGCUUCGGACCUCACGCUAUCAGAUGAGCCUAGGUCGGAUUAGCUAGUUGGUGGGGUAAAGGCCUACCAAGGCGACGAUCCGUAACUGGUCUGAGAGGAUGAUCAGUCACACUGGAACUGAGACACGGUCCAGACUCCUACGGGAGGCAGCAGUGGGGAAUAUUGGACAAUGGGCGAAAGCCUGAUCCAGCCAUGCCGCGUGUGUGAAGAAGGUCUUCGGAUGGUAAAGCACUUUAAGUUGGGAGGAAGGGCAGUAAGUUAAUCCCUUGCUGUUUUGACGUUACCAAAAGAAUAAGCACCGGCUAACUUCGUG
This 484-nucleotide ribosomal RNA is filed under the name uncultured bacterium. Its description in RNAcentral is "partial 16S ribosomal RNA". It matches the Rfam family "Bacterial small subunit ribosomal RNA", at positions 30 to 507 of the family's 1533-position model. The record is from RNAcentral.